UGGGGGAUAUUGCACAAUGGGCGAAAGCCUGAUGCAGCGACGCCGCGUGGGGGAUGAAGGCUUUCGGGUUGUAAACCUCUUUCGCUACCGAACAAGGCCGCAGUUUUUGUUGUGGUUGAGGGUAGGUGGAUAAGAAGCGCCGGCUAACUACGUGCCAGCAGCCGCGGUAAUACGUAGGGCGCGAGCGUUGUCCGGAAUUAUUGGGCGUAAAGAGAUCGUAGGCGGUUUGUUGCGUCUGCUGUGAAAACGCGGGGCUUAACGCCGGGCGUGCAGGGGGUACGGGCAGGCUAGAGUGCGGUAGGGGAGAUUGGAAUUCCUGGUGUAGCGGUGGAAUGCGCAGAUAUCAGGAGGAACACCGAUGGCGAAGGCAGAUCUCUGGGCCGUUACUGACGCUGAGGAGCGAAAGCAUGGGGAGCGAACA
This 421-nucleotide ribosomal RNA is filed under the name uncultured prokaryote. RNAcentral's name for it is "bacterial SSU rRNA". It matches the Rfam family "Bacterial small subunit ribosomal RNA", at positions 355 to 774 of the family's 1533-position model. The record is from RNAcentral.